UUUUCCGGUUGAUCCUGCCGGACCCUACUGCUAUCGGGGUGGGACUAAGACAUGCGAGUCGAGCGUCUCUAGCUAUGUUGAGACGCGGCAGACGGCUCAGUAACACGUGGCUAACCUACCCUCAGGACAGGGACAACCCCGGGAAACUGGGGCUAAUACCCGAUAGGCGAGGAUGCCUGGAAUGGUUUCUCGCUUAAAGGAUCUUGGAUACAUGCUUUCAAGUCGCCUGAGGAUGGGGCCGCGUCCGAUCAGGUUGUUGGUGAGGUAACGGCUCACCAAGCCUAUAACCGGUACGGGCCGUGAGAGCGGUAGCCCGGAGAUGGGUACUGAGACAAGGACCCAGGCCCUACGGGGCGCAGCAGUCGCGAAAACUCCGCAAUGCACGAAAGUGUGACGGGGCUACCCCGAGUGCUCUCCGCUGAGGAAAGCUUUUCCCUUGGUGUAACUAGCCAGGGGAAUAAGGAGAGGGCAAGACUGGUGUCAGCCGCCGCGGUAAUACCAGCUCUCCGAGUGGUAGGGAUGAUUAUUGGGCUUAAAGCGUCCGUAGCCGGCUUAGCAAGUUUCCUGUUAAAUUCAGCGACCUAAUCGUUGAGCCGCGGGAAAUACUACUAGGCUAGGAGGCGGGAGAGGUCAACGGUACUUCCGGGGUAGGGGUGAAAUCCUAUAAUCCCGGGAGGACCACCAGUGGCGAAGGCUGUUGACUAGAACGCGCUCGACGGUGAGGGACGAAAGCUGGGGGAGCGAACCGGAUUAGAUACCCGGGUAGUCCCAGCUGUAAACGAUGCGAGCUAGGUGUUGGGAUGGCUACGUGCCAUUUCAGUGCCGCAGGGAAGCCAUUAAGCUCGCCGCCUGGGGAGUACGGCCGCAAGGCUGAAACUUAAAGGAAUUGGCGGGGGAGCAC
This 901-nucleotide ribosomal RNA is filed under the name uncultured archaeon. Its description in RNAcentral is "bacterial SSU rRNA". It matches the Rfam family "Archaeal small subunit ribosomal RNA", at positions 1 to 879 of the family's 1478-position model. The record is from RNAcentral.